AAGAGAAGCUUCGGGGAAGUUUCUCUUGUUACCUUCAGCUGUCUGAUGGGACAACACAGAAAAAAAAUGAGACUCUGACAUGUGCAGGAUGAGGAUGAGAGGUAGCAGAAACACAGGAAAAUCCAAAUGGAUUUGAGGACAACACUUCACAAUGAGUUUUCAUGCUAACCUCACAUCCCAUGUGCUGCUGGUUCUCACGCAGGAAGAAAAAUGGAUCAUUGAGAAUGCCUCCAAACCAAUGUCCUGAUGCUGAGGUUUUUUGCUUGAUGAAGUACCAUUGAAUUGGAAUAGUUAAAGUAAAGAAGGAUGAAGGUCAUGAGACAGUUCUACACUCAGAUGGAAAACCUGAGAACGGAAACAAGGACUUCAGCAAAACCACUGACCAUAUCUGCAAGAGCUGCAUAUACUUGGAGAAGAGGAAAACAGCUUCGUAAUAUUUCAAAAAAUUUGGAUUGAAAAUGUAUGCAUAGAAACCUACCUGUAAGUGCAUGGGGGAUUCAUCUACAGUGUGGCUGGAGCAACUCUGCAUUUCUAAACUUAAUUUUAAGUAUUGUGGUCAAAAAAUAUCAUUCAAGAUUGAGAGACAUUGUUUCUCUGGAAAAGAUGACUUAAGGUAUCGCAAUGAAAUGUGGUAAUUAGGAAAAGGAAGUUGUUUUGACAAAUGGUGUCAUUCAAAAAUAUAGUGUAAAUGACUACAUUUUGUGUUCAGUUAGAAUAAGCUGUGGAAUAUGAAGUCUUUGAUGGGGGGGGAGGGGAAGAAAAAAAAAACAAAACAAAACACCACUUCUUAUACUUCUAGUUAGGGUUUUCAUUGUGGGUGUAGUGCUGUGGAGAGAACUUAAUAGGAAUUUUGCCUCAGGCUAACUUCUCUCCACAAACAAAAAAUGCAAUUCUAAUGUUUCCAAAUGCCGGGCAUACUUCGUGUUGUGUAUUAAAACAGCCGCUUGUGAACUUUGAUUGAACAGACCCUUGUGAACCUUGAUUGGCUCUUUGUGGUGUAUCAUAAAAUAUGAAGAUACUGUAUGGAAACUACAUGCUGGAAAUGUAAGCCUCCAGGUAAUUUCUAUCUAGUUCUGCAGUCAUGUUGUUAAAAGGGUCACUUGUUAUUGUUUCACUUGACCUUCAUUGAAAUCUGCUCUACUACAACAUCACUGGAUGCAGUCCAAGAUGUUUUAUCUUUUAGCCAGUUCAAAUAUGCCUAGUCAUGCAGUCAUGCUGUAAUUAUUCUUUAUCUCAGUGCAACACAGAUUGCUGAAACGAACUACCUCUUGCCCUUACAUUCUGUUUAGACACAUCCACUAUGUGAGAAAGAACGUAUAAAAAAUUCCUUAUACCUUAUUUUGCAUAAUUUCUGCAGGAACCCCAUACACUCAAAGUCCUCAAUGAAAAAACACUUCAGCAGUCAGAUUAUUUUCAGUCAGUUAUCCAUUCAAAGUCUCAUCCUAGAGGUUCUCCAGUUUUAUAAUCUUCAUAGACGAGAGCCCAAGGUUGCAUGGUCAUAAAUGGCCAUAAAUGGCCAUAGUGGAUUUUUAACUUCAGCAAUUCAACACAGAUUACUUUAAAUCUCUAGCAUUAAAAACAAACAAACAAACAAACAAA
Anas platyrhynchos (mallard) is the source of this 1599-nucleotide non-coding RNA. The record is from RefSeq and is a predicted model, not a curated record. Lineage: Eukaryota; Metazoa; Chordata; Aves; Anseriformes; Anatidae.